Molecule: ribosomal RNA, 460 nt
Filed under: uncultured bacterium
Lineage: Bacteria
Description: partial 16S ribosomal RNA
Rfam family: Bacterial small subunit ribosomal RNA
Source: RNAcentral
CCUACGGGCGGCAGCAGUGAGGAAUAUUGGUCAAUGGGCGCGAGCCUGAACCAGCCAAGUCGCGUGAGGGAUGACGGUCCUACGGAUUGUAAACCUCUUUUGUCGGGGAGCAAGCGUGCGUUCGUGAACGCGCUUCCAGAGUACCCGUAGAAAAAGCAUCGGCUAACACCUUGCCACCAGCCGCGGUAAUACGGAGGUUGCGAGCGUUACCCGGAUUUAUUGGGUUAAAGGGGUGCGUAGGCGGGAUGUCAAGGCAGCGGUAAAAUUGGGGUGCUAAACACCGUCGAGCCGUUGAAACUGGCGUUCUUGAGUGGGCGGGAGGUAUGCGGAAUGCGUGGUGUAGCGGUGAAAUGCAUAGAUAUCACGAAGAACUCCGAUUGCGAAGGCAGCAUACCGGAGCCCUACUGACGCUGAGGCACGAAAGCGUGGGUAUCGAACAGGAUUAGAUACCCUAGUAGUC